Molecule: ribosomal RNA, 569 nt
Filed under: uncultured bacterium
Lineage: Bacteria
Description: partial 16S ribosomal RNA
Rfam family: Bacterial small subunit ribosomal RNA
Source: RNAcentral
UGGGGAAUAUUGCACAAUGGGCGCAAGCCUGAUGCAGCCAUGCCGCGUGUGUGAAGAAGGCCUUCGGGUUGUAAAGCACUUUCAGCGAGGAGGAAGGUGGUGGACUUAAUACGUUCAUCAAUUGACGUUACUCGCAGAAGAAGCACCGGCUAACUCCGUGCCAGCAGCCACGGUAAUACGGAGGGUGCAAGCGUUAAUCGGAAUUACUGGGCGUAAAGCGCACGCAGGCGGUUUGUUAAGUCAGAUGUGAAAUCCCCGGGCUCAACCUGGGAACUGCAUUUGAAACUGGCAAGCUAGAGUCUCGUAGAGGGGGGCUAGAAUUCCAGGUGUAGCGGUGAAAUGCGUAGAGAUCUGGAGGAAUACCGGUGGCGAAGGCGGCCCCCCUGGACGAAGACUGACGCUCAGGUGCGAAAGCGUGGGGAGCAAACAGGAUUAGAUACCCUGGUAGUCCACGCUGUAAACGAUGUCGAUUUGGAGGUUGUGCCCUUGAGGCGUGGCUUCCGGAGCUAACGCGUUAAAUCGACCGCCUGGGGAGUACGGCCGCAAGGUUAAAACUCAAAGGAAUUGAC